GGGUGGGGCCCCAAGGGCCGUCCGGCGGGGGCGGGGCCUGUCAUGGCAGCCUCCAGAGUCAAUUCCAGGAACCCUGAGGAUGAACUGACCCUCUUAUUCACUGUUCCACAUCGAGCUGCAGACCCAUCAGAUGGAACCAUGUGAUCAUUGUGGCCAGAGGCUGACCCCACAGCCACCUUGUGCCUCCCUUGGACCCACCCAGGAAUUUCUGAGCCUUCUUUAUGCAGCAAGAGGAAAAUCAUGCACUACCUCCUUAGAUUCUUAUCACCGGGGUGUGUUUAACAAGCAGAGCUAAGCUGAGGCAGGGAAAGGCCCUUGGAGGAACGAUCACUGCUUCCCUCGUGAUGAGAAGAACUGGCAAAAUUAUGAACAGGUGGAAAAGCGCACCCCAGAAGUGCUCCCUCCCUUGCUCCUGAACCCGGGUACACAUCAGAACAUCAAUCUGCCUAUUCAGCAUCAUCACGACGGUGCGGGAACCUCCUUGGCACUUUCAAAUACUUUUUUCAUAAACCCAAUUCAUGUCCACUAGGAAUGGCCCUGACCAGGGAGAGACUUGGGAGAUGAGAACUUUUGCUAAUCAGCAAAGCUGUAUCUGAGUCCAGACUCUUGCCUCCAGCCUUUAGACUGAAGAAGCACCUGGCAGCCCCCGGGGGCCAAGGAGGCCCACCUGUCUGUUUGCUUCUCCGGGAGCUGCUCCCACACGUCGCGCAGUCUGGGCACAGCGCCAAUGCGAGCUCUGCUUUCAGGACUUUGCAUCUCUCUUUCUCUGUGAAGACUCCAAGCCGGCCCGGGUUUGGAAGCCUCUCUGCUGCCUCUUCACACUUAUCUCUGAAUGAGAGAAACCCAGCCCGGCUCCCCUGAGCAAGGCUGAAUGAGCCCCGAGAUCUAAACUGGCACGAGCUACAGCUUGAGAACCACUCGUGCUAAAAUGGAAAAGGACUUGGAGAGCGCAGCGCCUUUUCAAGAGAACGGAGAGGAAGAUUCAACAGCGGGAGGAACUGAAACAGCCACUUGGAUUACUGUCCUAGGUGAGGGUGGUCACCUGUGUCACGUGGUCACCCUUGUCACGUGGCCACAUUGACAGGAUGCAGGUUAGAAUUAAGCCCACUGCCGCCCAUCGGUUGCACAGUGAACAUCUAGAGCGUCUCCCCAGUGGUUGUCAUCUCUUGGUGGGUCAGAAUCAUUUACAAGGGUCCUUGUAUCUCAGGUAGCAGAGGAGCCUGGGUCCAGGACGCCCCUAAAGUGUGCCUUGUCCCAGGCAGAGCUGCACUGUGUCCCCGCCUGCCUGGUCUAAGAAGUAUCUGCUCCUCAGCAAAUGAAGACGACUGGAAAGCCCCGACCCUCAGAGAUGAAAGGGGCCCGAGAGAAGGGCUCCACCGACCUCCGUUGUUUGAAUGGACACGUUUCCUGAACGCGGUCACGUCUAUACAGCGGAUUUCCUGCACCAACUCGCUGUCUGGUCCUGGGAGCUAUAAUAAUGAUGCCACCGCUACUCGUACUGGGGCUGCCUUCCCGGAGGGGAAGAUCGGGCAGGGGAGGCGCUGAGGCUGCGCAGUUGGCUGCGGCACCUGAGUCCCCUCCGCAGUCCUAAGAAAGGUUUCAGGGCCCUCUUCCAAGCAGCCUCAGGUAUGGUUUGAGUGGCACCGAUCCUGGGCUGCUGGGAGCCUAGACACCGUCCACAACAUCACGGGCAAUGACCUGUGAGCUAGGAGGACCACCUGGAUUAGCGGGCAGGGCUUCCCUGGUAGCGCAAUGGUUGGGAAGCCGCCUGCCAAUGCAGGAGACACGGGUUCGAGCCCUGGUCCAGGAGGAUCCCACAUGCCGCAGAGCAACCAAGCCCGUGCUCCGCAACAAGAGAAGCCACCGAAGUGAGAAGCCCACGCACCGCAAUGAAGAGUAGCCCUGGCUCUCCACAACUAGAGAAAGCCCGCGUGCAGCAGCGAAAACCCAACGCAGCCAAAAAUGAAUAAAUAAAUUUAUUUUUUUUUAAAAAAGAGUACCUGCUGGGUGAGAUUAAGUGGACUUUUUUUUUUAAGUGGACUUUUAAAUGCCCUUUUAAGUAAAAUUUGAGGCAAGAGAACAGAAAUCUGACCGUGACGUCAUCACUGACGUUCUGCGUCACCUGAACGAUGAAGACAAUGACCAGCCAAGAAAACCAUUCAUCAGUCUGAGGAAAGUGUGUCACCAUGGAAAACCUUGGGUGGCACUUCCACAGAAGCAGGACAUGUCACAGCAGAGGGAUGGCGAGACUGCACACCAGAGACUACAGAAUGUCAAAAUAAAUGCUCAACAAGAAUAAUGCCAACCAGAGACGAUGUUGCCUUUUAUAAAAAUUCAGAGAAACCACCAUGACUGUGUCACCCUUUUGUAAAUCUCUCAGUGACUUUUCCAAGCAAUUAUUAUGAUUUUAUACAAUACACAAACCAGGACAAGAUGAGAACUAAAUGUUACAAGAGGUCAGGAUAAUCUAUUUGGAUUUAAAGGCUAUGCCUUAUAUUUGAGCCACGAGAACUCCAAGUCCCAGACAAACAGACACGGAAGCCCUGCGGGUUCCCUGACGCCUGGCCCACGGUGGGGUUGGUAGUAACAGAGAGCACUGCAUGUCUAUCCUCUGGCACCAGUUUGACAUUUGCCCUGAUUCUUAAAACAACUUUCAGCUCAGUAUUACCAUCCCUAUUUCAGAGACCAGGAAACCGAGGCUCACACACUGGAAAGGGACCUGCCAGAAGUUGAACUAAGUGGCAAUGCUGGGACUCCCGCUCUGGUUUCCACUCUGCAGAGCGACUUCACAUUUCAGGAUGACAGUGCAGUUGGCAGUGACCUUGACCAGUGUUAGAAAAAAACCGAGUUAAUAAUGUUAACCUCAACCUAUAUUUAUACUUGUUGGGACUAUUAAGCCAGCAAAAGCACACCAUUCUCUGGGGUUUCGCUGCACUCCACCCAGCCUUGGGUAGGGCUCUUAGUGCUUGCCUGGUUAUUAAAAAUGCAAGACUUGCAACAAUGGGCUGGGAAUUACAAGAUUUAAAAGGAAGAUUCACAAAGCACGGAGCUGAUCUCCCUGUGCUAUGUG
Balaenoptera ricei (Rice's whale) is the source of this 3070-nucleotide long non-coding RNA. RefSeq lists it as uncharacterized. The transcript has 7 exons. NCBI's taxonomy places the organism in Eukaryota, Metazoa, Chordata, Mammalia, Artiodactyla, Balaenopteridae. The record is from RefSeq and is a predicted model, not a curated record.